AAACCGGGGGAGCCAAAGCCACCGGAGUCGAAACUACCGGGGCUGAAGCCACCGGAGCCGAAGCUACCAGAGCAAGCACUGAAGCCGAAGUCCUUGGGGCCGAAACCGGGACCAACGAAGAUCCUAACCUGGAAACUACACUUGAUGAUAUUGACAAUAUGCUUCUGAGAAUGGCUGAAGAAGAAGCUGCUAUGGUUACGGCAACAGAAAAAGGAAAAGAGCAGAUUGAAGACAUUUUGGAAAAAGAAAAUUUUAAUUUUCAAGAUAUACUUGGACAAGGGUUGUCAGACGCUGAAAAAGAAGAGCUGAAGAAAUAUGCUAUAUCCUGUGGAUACAAACCAGGGUCUCUGCUAUUUGGUGGAGUCAACGAAGGGAAGCUGAGGUGCCUUCGGAACCGAACCGAGGCCAAGGUUGUUAGGACCUUCUCCAAAAGCGUUGGCCUGCCGAAGAUAGAAGCGGACCUCUGCAGAUACCAGCGACAGCAUAUCGCCGGUAGCUUGCUCUAUGCUAAUUUCAAGGUAAAAACUCUCGAUUUUUUAUUAUUAUAUUUUUUAUUUUGAAUUAAGUUGUUUUCUGACGAAGGUUGUUCUGGCAGAGUAUACUUCUAAGUAAAGUGCUGAGAAUACAACAAGAUCUUGAGGAUGAAAAGAACGAAGCUACCAUCAAAGAUCUAGAAAACAAAGUCAAAAAUUACGAAGCUGCUCUGAAGGAAAAAGACUCCGUUGUUCAAGAUCUUGAAAUCAAAGUUAAAGAUCACGAAGCUGCCUUGGAAAAGAAGGACUUCGUCAUUCAUUCUAUGGAAGGUUCAUUGGCUGAAGCUGUGACGGAACCUCCCAAGUAAUUAGGCCCACCUACAGUUGUCCUUGUCUAACAGACAUCAGACACCCUGUAGAUGUUCCUAAGUCACUUGACAAGUUCGGUAUCUUUCCUUACCUUACCAGGAACGUUUCACCCGUCUUGCAGACAUUACAGAACAUCGGAGAUAUAGAAAUGCGGAAGCUUUUACAUAAACUUACAUUUAUUUAGAAUGUAAGAUCAAGUUAUUUAUUACAGACCAGAACUAAAAGCGAGUGCAGAGUAGUUACACAUAUCAAGGGAGGCACAGACUCCUCCCGAUAGCUUUAAAACAAAAAGAUCCUAUAUGGAGGACCAAGUCCUCCCGCAUCUUCACUCCUGUUUUCCUUCAUUUGAUACCACCUUGGAGCAAAAGCAACAAAAAUUCGUCGCUUCCUCACCUAAAAACAACAAAGGGAUAAACCCUGAGUAUGGAAUUACUCAGCAAGUCUUACCCGACUAAGGAAAAGACUCUCAAGGGUAUGCUGGAUAAAUAGGAGUCAAGGAGAGGCUUUAGCAAGAAUCAACUUAGAUACCUUUGCAGAAAUAGCUUACUAAAGUGAGUCCUUACUUUCAAUAUUUUAGCGCCAGAUUAAAUAUUUAAUAGACUCUGUUUGCAUCUAGUCUAAUUUCAUCAUCUCAUCAAUACAACAUCAUUUUAUCCAUAGUGUUCACAUCUUGACUUAGGUUGUAGGUCGGAGCUCAAGUCUCCACUGUCCGGGGAUAUAACGGCGAUCCGAAUCGAUUUACUCAGCUGAGGAUCUCUAACCACACGACAUAUGUUUCUCGUAAACCUUGAUGUCUACUAUUCCCACGGAUCCUCCACUGCAUGAACAGGUCCGCGCCACCCGAGAGUACACCACCUCUUUUAGGCGAUCCGUUGCUAGGAGGGUACGUGCCACUCUCGCCAUCUCUCCACGCCCAGUGCGCGAUUGUCUUUUCAUGUAUGGAAUAGCCGGGUUCAAGCUUACCAUGUCCCAUUCUCAGGGCAUGUGGCUAGAUAAGAUAGUCCUUGAUCAACAGGCCUACAUACGCAUCCAAUCCUUAAUUGACCCGGGCGGAGCAUCACCUGUUCCUAGCCCAAGUCUCGAUUUAAGUAUUUCCAUCCUUAGGAUUGUGUCUGUUCCUUAGGAUGAAAGAGCAUCACAGGGAACUUUGCAGUAAGAUCCCACUAUUGCUCCAAAUGAAAAUAUUCUUGCAGGUAGAAGCCAUCCUCUCCAUGGUUAAAUUGAGGACAACCUCUAUCCACAAGAUCUAAGCAAGGCUAAGCAUUUUUGUAAAUCAUAUUUUGAUACUUCACAGAAGUAUCUAUAAAGGUAUGGAUAUCAAGGAAAGCAAUGCAUCAAAGGGUUUCAAGUAACUCCUAUGAACCUAAUGCACAUUUCACUAGACUUAAGUGUGCAAAAAGUAUUUUAAAAACACAAGGAAAGGGGUUGCCUGCACCGGGGCUUGCCUUUGUUUAUAGAUGAGUUAGUCUCAGGCCCGCAGAUGCUAAAGUUGAGACGAGACCCUGCCUGAGACUCCAAAGGUGGUGUUGUCUUCUCUUCAGGGACUUCCACUUCUUCUUCGCGUUCUAAAUAUAACCAUAUAGGUAUAUAUAAGAAUGAAUGCCAUGUAAUGCAAACUCUUACAAGGAGAGGUGGAGAACAGAAACACUACAACUAAAGCACAUAACAAGAAUAUACCUAUUUCUUAUUGCUCGAUUAAAGUGACCAAUUUGAAAUCACUUAGGUAAACCAGGGAAUUACCCCAACCAAGGUCUCAAGCAAAAGCUUAAAACUCCAUAAGUAACUUCAUCCAAGGGUCAAGAUCUCACUAGAUCAACAUGCCUCUGCCCCAAAAGCACUUAGUUCCAUAAUUAAGUAAGGAUUUAAUAACUAUUUUUGGACCUUGCAAGGCUUUCAGGUCAAAAAGGCUUCCAAACAGCCCAAAAACUACACUAAAAAUCCUAUAACUAACUUCACUUAGAGAGAUCUUGAUUUAACACAUCCAACCCGGCUUCACAACUAACUUCAGAAGAACUCGAACCAGAUGCCCGUCGCGCUACUCCGGCGACCUGGCGCCUACGACCACGUCGGCGCUGCUCUUCAGCGUCCCCCAACUACUACUGAGACAUGUCCGCGGUCAACACAACCCGGGCACAACCCUUCAACACCCAUCGAGUCACUAACACUUUACUUCUGGCCCCUUCUAUGUUUCUUGCCUUUACAAAUUGAGUUCCCGACGUCGCCGGCGGCGCGAACGCGCUCCCCCCGCGAUCCUACGGCGGAGGAGAGCCCGAGCAGUCUUCGGACAGCGGCCAGAUCAAAUCUUAACCUAAUCCAAACAAUUACGGGCAUGGAUUUGGCUCACAAACUCCCAGAGCGACUUGACCGCGCCCACGAUGGAAUCCAAGUUCGUGGUAUAUGCCCGGCCAAUUUGAGUGUCGGACACAUCAAAUUAAGGGAACGGGGAGUACGAGCAAGACACGGUCGACACGAUGCUUACGAAAAUCGACAUCGAACCGACAAAGUUUUGGUGGGUUGACAUCAGAGCAGUUCAUGCGGCAUCAAACCCGCGUUCCGAUCAAACUAGGAUUGUAAAGAUCAACCGGACUUUUUGGUGAGCUUCACCAAUGUAUGAGGAUGCUAGAACAUCAAGUCUUAGGGAUUGAGUCAUACCGUAACCGCCUGGCCACGUGAAGCCGAGGUGUUGUCGAGGUGGUCACCGGACACGCGCGGUGGUUUGAUCAAUGGAACAGGGCAUGUCUAGAGUGCAGUACUGCUAAUUGAAGCUGCACACUAUGAUUGCUGGUCGAAGUAGGGAUUACUGGUUUGGUUCCAGCCUUUCCUCCCCCCGGUUGUUCUUUAUAUAGGCAGAUAAAAGAUCAAAGGGGCUGGAUUCUUGAACUUGC
This 3727-nucleotide long non-coding RNA is filed under the name Zea mays. RNAcentral's name for it is "long non-coding RNA (ZMAY_LNC001530)". The record is from RNAcentral. Lineage: Eukaryota; Viridiplantae; Streptophyta; Magnoliopsida; Poales; Poaceae.